Molecule: unclassified non-coding RNA, 353 nt
Filed under: soil metagenome
Description: partial contains 5.8S ribosomal RNA, internal transcribed spacer 2, and large subunit ribosomal RNA
Rfam family: 5.8S ribosomal RNA (bases 1-120)
Source: RNAcentral
GAUGAAGAACGAAGCGAAAUGCGAUAAGUAAUGUGAAUUGCAGAAUUCAGUGAAUCAUCGAAUCUUUGAACGCACAUUGCGCCCGCCAGUAUUCUGGCGGGCAUGCCUGUUCGAGCGUCAUUACAACCCUCAGGCCCCCGGGCCUGGCGUUGGGGAUCGGCGGAAGCCCCCUGCGGGCACAACGCCGUCCCCCAAAUACAGUGGCGGUCCCGCCGCAGCUUCCAUUGCGUAGUAGCUAACACCUCGCAACUGGAGAGCGGCGCGGCCACGCCGUAAAACACCCAACUUCUGAAUGUUGACCUCGAAUCAGGUAGGAAUACCCGCUGAACUUAAGCAUAUCAAUAAGCGGAGGA